RNAcentral lists this ribosomal RNA (467 nucleotides) under uncultured bacterium. Its description in RNAcentral is "partial 16S ribosomal RNA". It matches the Rfam family "Bacterial small subunit ribosomal RNA", at positions 28 to 507 of the family's 1533-position model. The record is from RNAcentral.
GAUGAACGCUGGCGGCGUGCUUAACACAUGCAAGUCGAACGGAAAGGCUCCUGCUUGCAGGGGUACUCGAGUGGCGAACGGGUGAGUAACACGUGGGUGAUCUGCCCUGCACUUCGGGAUAAGCCUGGGAAACUGGGUCUAAUACCGGAUAGGACCACAUUUUGGAUGGUGUGGUGGAAAGUUUUUCGGUGUGGGAUGAGCUCGCGGCCUAUCAGCUUGUUGGUGGGGUAAUGGCCUACCAAGGCGUCGACGGGUAGCCGGCCUGAGAGGGUGUACGGCCACAUUGGGACUGAGAUACGGCCCAGACUCCUACAGGAGGCAGCAGUGGGGAAUAUUGCACAAUGGGCGCAAGCCUGAUGCAGCGACGCCGCGUGGGGGAUGACGGCCUUCGGGUUGUAAACUCCUUUCGCUAGGGACGAAGCGUUUUUGUGACGGUACCUGGAGAAGAAGCACCGGCUAACUACGUG